CCUACGGGUGGCAGCAGUCGAGAAUCAUUCACAAUGGGGGAAACCCUGAUGGUGCGACGCCGCGUGGGGGAAUGAAGGUCUUCGGAUUGUAAACCCCUGUCAUGUGGGAGCAAAUUAAAAAGAUAGUACCACAAGAGGAAGAGCCGGCUAACUCUGUGCCAGCAGCCGCGGUAAUACAGAGGUCUCAAGCGUUGUUCGGAAUCACUGGGCGUAAAGCGUGCGUAGGCUGUUUCGUAAGUCGUGUGUGAAAGGCGCGGGCUCAACCCGCGGACGGCACAUGAUACUGCGAGACUAGAGUAAGGGAGGGGGAACCGGAAUGCUCGGUGUAGCAGUGAAAUGCGUAGAUAUCGAGAGGAACACUCGUGGCGAAGGCGGGUUCCUGGACAGUAACUGACGCUGAGGCACGAAGGCCAGGGGAGCGAAAGGGAUUAGAUACCCUUGUAGUC
This 446-nucleotide ribosomal RNA is filed under the name uncultured bacterium. RNAcentral's name for it is "partial 16S ribosomal RNA". It matches the Rfam family "Bacterial small subunit ribosomal RNA", at positions 338 to 795 of the family's 1533-position model. The record is from RNAcentral.